Long non-coding RNA from Salvia miltiorrhiza (redroot sage), 2752 nucleotides. RefSeq lists it as uncharacterized. The record is from RefSeq and is a predicted model, not a curated record. Lineage: Eukaryota; Viridiplantae; Streptophyta; Magnoliopsida; Lamiales; Lamiaceae. The transcript is spliced from 4 exons.
CACUCUCGUUCUUCCUUCUCAGGCAGUUUCGCCGGUUCUCACCGCCUCCGGCGCGGUGGUUACGUUCGUCUCUCUCUCCUAUCACCUCUCUGCCCAGACCCCCUAGCCCCUACCCCUCGCCUCUCCCUCUCUCUCAUCACCUUUUACCCUCUCACCCACCCCCAAAUCUAUAGCCCUAAUUCGUCGCCGCCACCCUCGCUCCUCCAAUCGCCGCCACCAUGCGUCGGAGCCCUACAAGGCAGGCCAGCUCUCUCCCUCUGCACAUCUCUCCCUCGUCAUCUGCCUCUUAUUGCCUUUCUCUUCGGCCCUGCUAGUCGUCUCCGCCGUGAAUUGUCGUCUUCGGCCCAGCCUCCGCGUCCGCCGCAAUUCAUCGCCUACUCCACGAUUCACCGGAGAUCCCGUCCACUUCUAAGUCUCCGCCGCCGCCGCCGCCUAAUUCUCCGCUAGACACCGUCGCUGCUAGAUUUUCUGUAUUUUUUUCUUUCUAUUUUCUGUAUUUUUUUCUACAUCUCCAGAUUUCUGCAACUAGCUCAUCUUAAUAUUCCCACCGAUUCCUUCCUCCGCUCUGCCACCGUCGCCGACUUCCAUGCUGCCCGCUUCCGUGACCCCGCCUGUAUUUCCUUUUCCCAUUACCUUCUCAAUUACAAGGGUUUCUUCGCUUGCCAGAGGGAUUGUCCAAGAGAACAUGAGUGUUGGACAUCGUGAUGCUUUACUUCUUUUCCUUACACUUUGUAAGAUGGGUAUGAGGGAGGAUAAUGAUGAGCAAAACUCGCGUUCUAUCUUUGGAGCUUCUGCAGGUCAGUUCUGCUAAUCUUUCUGUACAUUGAUUAUUGCAUGCUUGUUCUGGUGGUUUGGAGAAAAGGAAAGGUCUUCUUGUUUUCACUCCAUCUCAAUGGUUGAGGAUUUUGAAUGAUGCUAACUCUUUGAAACAAUAUUCUAGAGUACACACUAACAAUUUGCCCUUGUUGACUAUCCUCCACAUAAAACAAUGACUAAUUACUCCACUAUCUAUAAAAGAAAAGAAUAGGGCACUUAAGUGGUCAGAAGUGCCAAAGCAUUUUUUUCACUUGUUGAGGGGUUGGUUUUAUUUUUAUAACGCUUAAGUUCUGAGUUUCACAUCAGAUGAAUUUUUACAAUGCUAAUUGUUAUGUUUAUCAAUUUUUUACGGUGCAGUUGUUACAUAUAUCUCUAUUCUAUUAUAAUUUUGACUAAGCAGGUUAUAAUAUUUAUAAAUUAAAUGAAUUAGGAAAUGAACAAUAUACGACGCCUAACCCAUACCAGUCACAACCCUCCCUUUAAGCCACUCAAGUUCGCACGCCGACGCUGGUCAGUGGAAAACAGCUAACAUUUUCAGUUUCCGGUUAGUUUUUCAUAUUCAUUUCCAAUUGAAUGUGUUCUCAUCUAUUUGUUUAUUCACUGCUCUAAAAAAUCUAUCUAUAUAUAUAAUCCUGAAUCAUGCAUCAUUAUGUUCGAUGCUAUCUAACGCUGAAACUUGCUGAAAUCUUUUACUCUAAUCCUCCCACUUUAGUUGUUGCCUCAUUUAUGUUCUCCAUAAUUUAUAUUUACUUGACUUCUGUAUAUUUCACAUGCUUCGAUUGUAUUUGACAGCACCUACUCUGGAUGAAAUGCUGGCUGAUGUUCUGUUUCCUUUGUUUAAUAUUGCAAAAAAACUUUUAUAAACAACUUCUAUACCUUCUUGGUUGGUGCAUGUUUGUACAUGCUGGGAAGGAUAUUCUUGGUUACCAAAAAGAGAAGUAGUGUACUUGAGUCAUGGAGGGAUAGUUGGAUAAUCCAGCAUCUUAUACUUCUAAAUAUUGGAAGCAGAUUCUUGUGUUAAAUAGACAUGGAGGGAUAGUUGGAACUGCCACUUGAGACAUUUGAAUGAACAUCUGUUAAAUAGACAUGCAAUUUUUGCUUUCUGCUUCUCUGUAGUUUUCAUUUUGUAAUAGUAGAUUAGCAUAGCAUUGAUUGAAACAAUCGAAGUAUUUAAGGUGAAUGUUACCUUUGUGAUCAUAUUGCCCUUUUCUUGGAUUGUCUAUUUUCUUCAAGCCAGGUUAGUCGAAUAAUUUUGGUUGUAAUUUGUUUGGAGUCACUGGAAAGUUGUUGAGUUACUUUUUAAAUUGUUAACUGAAUGCAUAUGUAUGUAUAUAACUGUGAAUUCUUAGCUGAGUUAGAUGUCGAAAGAGCUAUUGUGUUGUGAUUACCUCCAUAUAUUGUAUUUUUGAAUUGUUGAAUAUACUAUAUAGAAGAUUGUGUUAUGACCUAUAAUAGCGUGUGCAAGUAAAAUAUGAUGAAAACCAUGAUGAGGAAAUAAUACCUUCAUUCUAAAAAAAAUUAUAGAAUCGUAUGUCUUACUCCGACCCUACUCGUAUGUCUUACUCCGACCUUUGUGUUAAUUGUUUAUACAAGGUUUUAUAGCAAAUCGUAUUGAACCGUGUAGUAUCUAGAUGGUACAGAGCUCCUGAGCUUCUGUUUGGCGCCAAACAAUAUGAUCAAGAUGGAUUACCAUGGCAAUGAGACAAGGCAGGCAGCUGGGGAGAGGAAUGAGCACGCUCCAAUGUCUUUGGAUUUUUCAGUUUUUGGCAUGAGGCCGCCAAAUAGACCAACUAUUAACAGGAGCAGAUGAGGGAGAUAUGCUCAAAAGUCAUACCCACUAUGUAUGAAGGAGCAGCUGAAACUCAUCAAAGUUGGAGCAUGAAGGUGCUUCUGUGAAGUUUCUUUUUUUUUUUUUUUUUUUUUUGAGUUAGGCUCA